UACGGAGGAUGCGAGCGUUAUCCGGAUUUAUUGGGUUUAAAGGGUGCGUAGGCGGUCUGUUAAGUCAGCGGUAAAAGACCGGGGCUCAACCCCGGCAAGCCGUUGAAACUGGCGGACUAGAGACGGAGAGAAGUAAGCGGAAUGCGCAGUGUAGCGGUGAAAUGCAUAGAUAUUGCGCAGAACUCCGAUUGCGAAGGCAGCUUACCGGCUCCGGACUGACGCUGAGGCACGAAAGCGUGGGGAUCAAACAGG
Molecule: ribosomal RNA, 252 nt
Filed under: uncultured bacterium
Lineage: Bacteria
Description: partial 16S ribosomal RNA
Rfam family: Bacterial small subunit ribosomal RNA
Source: RNAcentral